This 496-nucleotide ribosomal RNA is filed under the name uncultured bacterium. RNAcentral's name for it is "partial 16S ribosomal RNA". It matches the Rfam family "Bacterial small subunit ribosomal RNA", at positions 28 to 506 of the family's 1533-position model. The record is from RNAcentral.
GAUGAACGCUGGCGGCGUGCCUAAUACAUGCAAGUCGAGCGAACAGACGAGGAGCUUGCUCCUCUGACGUUAGCGGCGGACGGGUGAGUAACACGUGGAUAACCUACCUAUAAGACUGGGAUAACUUCGGGAAACCGGAGCUAAUACCGGAUAAUAUAUUGAACCGCAUGGUUCAAUAGUGAAAGACGGUUUUGCUGUCACUUAUAGAUGGAUCCGCGCCGCAUUAGCUAGUUGGUAAGGUAACGGCUUACCAAGGCAACAAUGCGUAGCCGACCUGAGAGGGUAAUCGGCCACACUGGAACUGAGACACGGUCCAGACUCCUACGGGAGGCAGCAGUAGGGAAUCUUCCGCAAUGGGCGAAAGCCUGACGGAGCAACGCCGCGUGAGUGAUGAAGGUCUUCGGAUCGUAAAACUCUGUUAUUAGGGAAGAACAAAUGUGUAAGUAACGAUGCACGUCUGGACGGUACCUAAUCAGAAAGCCACGGCUAACUACGU